RNAcentral lists this ribosomal RNA (474 nucleotides) under uncultured bacterium. Its description in RNAcentral is "bacterial SSU rRNA". It matches the Rfam family "Bacterial small subunit ribosomal RNA", at positions 33 to 507 of the family's 1533-position model. The record is from RNAcentral.
GACGACGCUGGCGGCGUGCCUAACACAUGCAAGUCGAGCGGGGUUGAAGCGAGGGGUAACUCGAGUUUCUACCUAGCGGCGGACGGGUGAGUAACGCGUGGGCAACCUGCCUCAAGGACUGGGAUAACAGCUCGAAAGGGCUGCUAAUACCGGAUAAGCCUAUGGCCUCGCAUGGGGCCAUGAGCAAAGGGGAAACCCGCCUUGAGAUGGGCCCGCGUCCCAUCAGCUAGUUGGUGAGGUGAAGGCUCACCAAGGCGACGACGGGUAGCCGGCCUGAGAGGGUGACCGGCCACACUGGGACUGAGACACGGCCCAGACUCCUACGGGGGGCAGCAGUGGGGAAUCUUGCACAAUGGGCGAAAGCCUGAUGCAGCGACGCCGCGUGAGCGAAGAAGGCCUUCGGGUUGUAAAGCUCUGUCUGGAGGGACGAAGGAAGUGACGGUACCUCCGGAGGAAGCCACGGCUAACUACGUG